CCAUUUUGUUCUUUUUCGUUGUCUUUUCCUCUUUAUCACUAUUGCAACAACAGUAGCCAUCAUGUAUACAUCAUUUCGCUGAAUUACGCUCAUAUUCAAAUUGAUCACACCAUCCACUGUUAAAACUGACACUGCACUGACAAGUAAAUCUGAACCGUGUAUUUCAAAAAUCAUUUCACAUUUGCUCUUUUCUGAAUUUAUUCUAGUUUUAUUGCAACUAAUGUUCCAACCAAUGCAUCCCUUGCAAUGAAAAUUUUGGUUACAGGGUGUCUGAACUAUGAUGCCAACAUUAGUUUUUUAUUUGAUUUCUUAGAAAAUAGACUGGAUGAAAAGGACUGAUUGAGUGGCUACCAGGGUCACCGGAUAUAGCCCGAUUAGAUUUUUUUAUGGAGCUAUUUGAAGUCCACAGUUUAUGUGAAUAGACCAAAUAAUGUUGAUGAUUUAAGGCGAAGAAAUCGAUAAGAAAUUAAACUAAUCGAUCUGCAAGUAAUUGAAAAUGUGCAAUUAGAAGAUAUUUACCAAUUUCAAAAAUGCAUUGAAGUAAAUGAACAACAAAUUGAACAUUAGUUGCAAUGAAUAUUGUAUAAAUUUUUUAUUUUUUAAUGUCGUAUGUUUCAUUAGGCUAUUACGUCAAAUUUGACAAACCGCUUACUUUAGGCAUGGUAUGCUAUAUAAAAGUAUUCAGAAUAUUUCCUAGAAUUGUAAAAUAUCAUGAUAUACAAGGAGUUUUAUUAAAAAAAAUUAUUGCUGA
This is a long non-coding RNA of Anthonomus grandis grandis, 751 nucleotides long. RefSeq lists it as uncharacterized. Lineage: Eukaryota; Metazoa; Arthropoda; Insecta; Coleoptera; Curculionidae. The record is from RefSeq and is a predicted model, not a curated record. The transcript has 2 exons.